This 301-nucleotide ribosomal RNA is filed under the name uncultured bacterium. RNAcentral's name for it is "partial 16S ribosomal RNA". It matches the Rfam family "Bacterial small subunit ribosomal RNA", at positions 509 to 809 of the family's 1533-position model. The record is from RNAcentral.
CAGCCGCCGCGGUAAUCCGUAGGGUGCAAGCGUUAAUCGGAAUUACUGGGCGUAAAGCGUGCGUAGGCGGUUAUAUAAGUCAGAUGUGAAAGCCCCCGGCUCAACCGGGGAGGGUCAUUGGAAACUGGGAAACUUGAGUGCAGAAGAGGAGAGUGGAAUUCCACGUGUAGCGGUGAAAUGCGUAGAGAUGUGGAGGAACACCAGUGGCGAAGGCGACUCUCUGGUCUGUAACUGACGCUGAGGAGCGAAAGCGUGUGGAGCGAACAGGAUUAGAUACCCGCGUAGUCCCUGUCUCUUAUAA